UACACUCCUGCGGGAGGCAGCAGUGGGGAAUAUUGCACAAUGGGCGCAAGCCUGAUGCAGCCAUGCCGCGUGUAUGAAGAAGGCCUUCGGGUUGUAAAGUACUUUCAGCGGGGAGGAAGGCGAUAAGGUUAAUAACCUUGUCGAUUGACGUUACCCGCAGAAGAAGCACCGGCUAACUCCGUGCCAGCAGCCGCGGUAAUACGGAGGGUGCAAGCGUUAAUCGGAAUUACUGGGCGUAAAGCGCACGCAGGCGGUCUGUCAAGUCGGAUGUGAAAUCCCCGGGCUCAACCUGGGAACUGCAUUCGAAACUGGCAGGCUAGAGUCUUGUAGAGGGGGGUAGAAUUCCAGGUGUAGCGGUGAAAUGCGUAGAGAUCUGGAGGAAUACCGGUGGCGAAGGCGGCCCCCUGGACAAAGACUGACGCUCAGGUGCGAAAGCGUGGGGAGCAAACAGGAUUAGAUACCCCGGUAGUCCC
RNAcentral lists this ribosomal RNA (473 nucleotides) under uncultured organism. Its description in RNAcentral is "partial 16S ribosomal RNA". It matches the Rfam family "Bacterial small subunit ribosomal RNA", at positions 332 to 797 of the family's 1533-position model. The record is from RNAcentral.